RNAcentral lists this long non-coding RNA (1633 nucleotides) under Marmota monax (woodchuck). Lineage: Eukaryota; Metazoa; Chordata; Mammalia; Rodentia; Sciuridae. The record is from RNAcentral.
GGCAGAGCAUUCUUUUGAUUCUUGUAUGUCAUUUUGAGAUUAUGACUUCUAUUUGAUAAUCUUUACCACUAGUAAAGUUAAUUGCAUCCACUAGAAGUCAAUUUCUUGUUGUACCUAGAAUGGCACCUAGGAUCCUUUUUAUGCACAAUAAUGCCCCAGAUAUCAGACAUUCACUUCUUCUUUAACCUUACCUCCUAUCAGUCUCUGCUUCAUUCAUUGCAUUUCAGCCAGGUGGCUUGUCUUUUUCUUAAGCAUAUCAACUCAUCCCUAUCUCAGAGAUUUUAUACAUAUUUAAGCUCUGCCUAGAAUGUUUUCCCAGGAUCUCAGCAAGUCUAGCUCCUUCUAGUGUCUCAGCCCAAAUGCCACCUCUUUAAGUUAUUCCUUUACUGGUGUGUCCUUCACCCAGCCACUCUUCACUUCAUUACUUUCCUUUCUUUUUAUAUCAGUUAUCACUACCUUCAAAUAUUUUGUUCAUGUAUUUACUUGUUUAUUUAUAAAGUAUAAGCUAUUGCUUAGCACAUAUUUCAGUGUUUAGGACAGUACCUCUGUAUUAGUCAGCUUUUUCACUGCUCUAACUAAAAGACCUGAGAAGAACAACUUUAGAGGAGGAGAAGUUUUUUGGGGGGCUCACAGUUUCAGAGGUCUCUAUCCAUAGACAGCUCUCUCUUUCUCAGAGCUCAAGAUGUGGCUAAACAUCAUGUGGCAGAAAAAAGCAGCUCACAUGAUGAUCAGGAAGCAGAGAGACAGAAACUCCACUCACCAGUUAUAAAAUAUAUACUCCAAAGGCAUGACCUAAUGCCCAUCUCCUCCAAUCAUACCCUACUGAUCUUCAGUUACCAGUUAAUGCCAUUAGGUAAUUAAUUCACUCAUUGAGUUAAGACUCUCAUAACCCAACCAUUUAUCCUCUAAAACUUCUUGUACUGUCUCACACAUGAGCUUUUGGGCGACACCUCACAUCCAUACUAUAACAAUGUAUUAUUCAAAUAAAUAAUAAAUCUGCUUUCUUAUUCUUCUAGCCAACAUCCACCUACUGGUGGGUCCCUCAUUGUGUUUCUAUUGUUUUGAGGAUAUGUCCAGGUCACAUUAAUGUCCUAUUCAUGCCCUAUUGUACAGUUUCUCAUAUUUUCUGAAAUGUAUUUCACCAUUAUUCCAGCUCAGUGAGUGAUUCUCAAAGCCAUAAUUUGUCAUCAUCUCAAACUUCUAAUAUCCUCCUCUCUUAGACCACAAUUACCUAUCUUUAUAUCACACUCUUUUCUAAUUCUUUCUGAAUUUUUCCUUGAAGGUCUUAUUGAUUUAUAUAAAACCCUUGAAUCCUUUUUUCUUAUACUUCUGACAAAUCUUCUAAAUUUCAUUUUCUCGCUUAUCUGCUUAUGAUCUAAAUAACUAAUGACUAAGCAUUUCAAUGAACUCUCACAAGCUUUUUAAAAACUCCUUUGUGAAGAAUGAAAUUAUGGCAUUUGCAGGUAAAUGGAUGGAGCUGGAUAAAAUCAUGCUAAGCAAAAUAAGCCAAACCCAAAAAACCAAGGACCGAAUGUUUUCUCUGAUAAGUGGAUGCUGAUACAUAAUGGGAUGGAGGGCUGGCAGGGAAGAAUGAAGGAACUUUGGAUUGUGCAGAGGGGAGCGAGAGGAGGGA